RNAcentral lists this ribosomal RNA (497 nucleotides) under uncultured bacterium. RNAcentral describes it as "partial 16S ribosomal RNA". It matches the Rfam family "Bacterial small subunit ribosomal RNA", at positions 28 to 507 of the family's 1533-position model. The record is from RNAcentral.
GACGAACGCUGGCGGCGUGCCUAAUACAUGCAAGUUGAGCGAUGAAGAUUGGUGCUUGCACCAAUUUGAAGAGCAGCGAACGGGUGAGUAACGCGUGGGGAAUCUGCCUUUGAGCGGGGGACAACAUUUGGAAACGAAUGCUAAUACCGCAUAACAACUUUAAACAUAAGUUUUAAGUUUGAAAGAUGCAAUUGCAUCACUCAAAGAUGAUCCCGCGUUGUAUUAGCUAGUUGGUGAGGUAAAGGCUCACCAAGGCGAUGAUACAUAGCCGACCUGAGAGGGUGAGCGGCCACACUGGGACUGAGACACGGCCCAAACGCCUACGGGAGGCAGCAGUAGGGAAUCUUCGGCAAUGGACGAAAGUCUGACCGAGCAACGCCGCGUGAGUGAAGAAGGUUUUCGGAUCGUAAAACUCUGUUGGUAGAGAAGAACGUUGGUGAGAGUGGAAAGCUCAUCAAGUGACGGUAACUACCCAGAAAGGGACGGCUAACUACGUG